UUGGCGGCUCCUCAAAACAUUAAACAUAGACUUGCCAUGUGACCCGGCAAUUCCACUGUGAGGUGUAGAUGCCGAAACAUCAAAAGCAGGGUCUCAGGCUGAUCCGUGUAGAACGACGUUCGUGGUGGCUCUGUUCCCAACAGCCCAGAGGUGGAAACAACCCACCCACAGAUGGCUGAAUAAGCGAAGCAUGGUAUAUGCACACAGUGUUCCUGAACUUGAAUAAGGAGUGAAAUCCUGAUAUGUGCUCAGCGUGGAGGAGCCCUGAAAACAUUAUGCUCAACAACAUAAGCGAGACCCAUAAGGGCAAAUGACCGCGUGAUUCCACUUACAUGAGGAAGGAUGGAACUAUCUCUGCUUUUUAUGCCAGUCUCAUUAACAGCCGCCAAGACAGAUGUGGGGCCCUCAACAGCAGUCCUUCUUCUUCGCAUCCAAAGAAUGGCAGAGAAAGUUAAGAGGCCGAAAUGAGGAGGCACAAAAGUUAGCAUCUUUAUUUUAUAGGCUGGAAUUCCAACUGCUGACACCUCGUUUUGUGUCCUGAGGACUUUCUCUUGACCUGGAGCCCCCUUUUCCACCUGUGCAGCAGGCCAGAGUGCUGGGAAAUUGGUGCCCCCGGGAGCAGACUCCCAACAAUGCAGCUUAGCUAGACUUUGAAGUCUACAUUUUCUGUCCGCACGUGCGUUGUCUUCUGGCUUCCAUAGCUGAUACUGAGAAGGCUGUUUUCAAUUGGACUGUUGUUGUUUUGCAGCUUGACUGAGCGCUCUUUGAGAGCAUGGACCAUGACAUACAUCUGCUGGGGUGUCCUCAUGGCGAGGUCAGAAGCACGGCGCUGAAUCGUAGG
Molecule: long non-coding RNA, 841 nt
Organism: Herpailurus yagouaroundi (jaguarundi)
Lineage: Eukaryota; Metazoa; Chordata; Mammalia; Carnivora; Felidae
Exons: 5
Source: RefSeq, a predicted model, not a curated record